Fusarium poae is the source of this 86-nucleotide non-coding RNA. Lineage: Eukaryota; Fungi; Ascomycota; Sordariomycetes; Hypocreales; Nectriaceae. The record is from Rfam.
GCCCGGUUAGCUCAAUCGGUAGAGCGUGAGACUCUUAAAUGAGUACACAAAUCUCAAGGUUGCGGGUUCGACCCCCGCAUCGGGCU